Molecule: non-coding RNA, 113 nt
Organism: Acanthosepion pharaonis
Lineage: Eukaryota; Metazoa; Mollusca; Cephalopoda; Sepiida; Sepiidae
Source: the annotation of a GenBank genome assembly
UAGGGCCAUAUCACUUUGAAACACCGGUUUCCGUACGAUCACCGAAAUUAAGCAAUGUCAAGCUUGGCCAGUAGCUAGAUGGGUGACCGCUUGUGACUAUCAGGUGUUGUAAG